Molecule: ribosomal RNA, 450 nt
Filed under: uncultured Spirochaetaceae bacterium
Lineage: Bacteria; Pseudomonadati; Spirochaetota; Spirochaetia; Spirochaetales; Spirochaetaceae
Description: bacterial SSU rRNA
Rfam family: Bacterial small subunit ribosomal RNA
Source: RNAcentral
UGGAGCAUGUGUUUAAUUCGAAGCAACGCGAAGAACCUUACCAGGUCUUGACAUCCCCUGACAACCCAAGAGAUUGGGCGUUCCCCGUUCGGGGGACAGGGUGACAGGUGUGCAUGGUGUCGUCAGCUCGUGCCGUGAGGUGUUGGGUUAAGUCCCGCAACGAGCGCAACCCCUACUGCCAGUUACUAACAGGUGAAGCUGAGGACUCUGGCGGAACUGCCGGUGACAAACCGGAGGAAGGUGGGAUGACGUCAAGUCCUCAUGGCCCUUAUGUCCAGGGCUACACACGUGCUACAAUGGCCGGUACAGAGUGACGCGAAGCCGCGAGGUGGAGCAAAUCGCAGAAAGCCGGCCUUAGUUCGGAUUGGAGUCUGAAACUCGACUCCAUGAAGGUGGAAUCGCUAGUAAUCGCGCAUCAGCAUGGCGCGGUCGAAUACGUUCCCGGGCCUU